RNAcentral lists this non-coding RNA (21 nucleotides) under Caenorhabditis elegans. The record is from RNAcentral. Lineage: Eukaryota; Metazoa; Nematoda; Chromadorea; Rhabditida; Rhabditidae.
UAAGGAUUAUCAAAUAAGAAU